GCGCAUUCGGAGGAGAAGUUGAAAUGGAGGGAAGCUCUUGCUAAGGCUGCUAAAUUGUCAGGGUGGCACUUGGAUAAUGGGGAUGAGGCUAAAUUUAUUCAGAAUAUUGUUGAAAUUGUUUCAGUUAAACUGAACUGCAAAUUGUUACCCGUUCCUGAGCAUCAUGUUGGUAUAAAAUCCUAAGUAGAAGAGAUGAUUUGUAUGUUAAGC
RNAcentral lists this unclassified non-coding RNA (210 nucleotides) under Hevea brasiliensis (rubber tree). Lineage: Eukaryota; Viridiplantae; Streptophyta; Magnoliopsida; Malpighiales; Euphorbiaceae. The record is from RNAcentral.